UGCAGAUUGCCUCCUGUGUAUGAAGAGUGAGCGCUCAGAGAGUCCGAAUAAUGCACAAGAGAACUUGGAACAGAAGAAUGAGCUGGAACAACCUGCCCUGCUGUAUUAUCUCAGAGAAUAACACAAGGCUGCCAGCAGCAAAAUUGAAGUUAUUUCAGAUCUUUUUGAAGUUCUAGACUCAAGAGAAAAGUCUAUUUUAAAAUAAGUCACCAGCUGGGAACGAAGUCAUGAAGUUGCAAAGAACCUAUCAAUGCCAACUGAAAUCCAAGGUCAAGUUGUUGACUUCAGUAGAUACCAAAUCCUAAAACGCACAGCGCUACCCCAGUGUUACAGUUUGAGCAGUGUCCUGUACUCUGGUACUUAAGUUUCAGGAUUAACAGAGCCAGCUGAAAGAAAGUGAAAACUCAUUCCUGAGUAGGAACGUACUGUGCGUUAAAGGUGACAGUAGAGACCCAAAAGGAAGAGGGCAACUUCUUCAGCUUUGCCAAAGACAUCUAGGAUUAGAGUACUGAAGUUACACGUGGCAUGGAGUGUCUCUAGGGCA
Molecule: long non-coding RNA, 544 nt
Organism: Oxyura jamaicensis (ruddy duck)
Lineage: Eukaryota; Metazoa; Chordata; Aves; Anseriformes; Anatidae
Exons: 5
Source: RefSeq, a predicted model, not a curated record